GCUACGGGUGGCAGCAGUGGGGAAUAUUGCGCAAUGGGCGAAAGCCUGAACCAGCCAUGCCGCGUGCAGGAAGACGGCUCUAUGAGUUGUAAACUGCUUUUGUACGAGGGUAAACGCAGAUACGCGUAUCUGUCUGAAAGUAUCGUACGAAUAAGGAUGGGCUAACUCCGUGCCAGCAGCCGCGGUAAUACGGAGGAUUCAAGCGUUAUACGGAUUUAUUGGGGUUAAAGGGUGCGUAGGCGGGGUGUUAAGUUAGCGGUGAAAUCCCGAGGCUCAACUUCGGAAUUGCCUCUGAUACUGUUCGGCUGGAGAGUAGUUGCGGUAGGCGGAAUGUAUGGUGUAGCGGUGAAAUGCUUAGAGAUCAUACAGAACACCGAUUGCGAAGGCAGCUUACCAAGCUACUUCUGACGUUGAGGCACGAAAGCGUGGGGAGCAAACAGGAUUAGAUACCCCAGUAGUC
RNAcentral lists this ribosomal RNA (460 nucleotides) under uncultured bacterium. Its description in RNAcentral is "partial 16S ribosomal RNA". It matches the Rfam family "Bacterial small subunit ribosomal RNA", at positions 338 to 795 of the family's 1533-position model. The record is from RNAcentral.